CUACCCUUGACAUGUCCGGAAGCCCGGUGAGAGCUGGGUGUGCCCGAAAGGGAACCGGAACACAGGUGCUGCAUGGCUGUCGUCAGCUCGUGUCGUGAGAUGUUGGGUUAAGUCCCGCAACGAGCGCAACCCUUGUCAUUAGUUGCUACAUUCAGUUGGGCACUCUAAUGAGACUGCCGGUGACAAACCGGAGGAAGGUGGGGAUGACGUCAAGUCCCCAUGGCCCUUAUGGGUAGGGCUUCACACGUAAUACAAUGGCGCGUACAGAGGGUUGCCAAGGGGUGACCUGGAGCCAAUCCCACAAAGCGCGUCAUAGUCCGGAUUGCAGUCUGCA
Molecule: ribosomal RNA, 334 nt
Filed under: uncultured bacterium
Lineage: Bacteria
Description: bacterial SSU rRNA
Rfam family: Bacterial small subunit ribosomal RNA
Source: RNAcentral